ACGCACGCUGGCGGCGUGCUUAACACAUGCAAGUCGAACGGAAAGGCCCCUUCGGGGGUACUCGAGUGGCGAACAGGUGAGUAACACGUGAGUAACCUGCCCUUGACUUCGGGAUAACUUCAGGAAACUGGGGCUAAUACCGGAUAGGAAUCCUUGCUGCAUGGUGGGGGUUGGAAAGCUUCGGCGGUUUUGGAUGGACUCGCGGCUUAUCAGCUUGUUGGUGGGGUAGUGGCUUACCAAGGCUUUGACGGGUAGCCGGCCUGAGAGGGCGACCGGCCACAUUGGGACUGAGAUACGGCCCAGACUCCUACGGGAGGCAGCAGUGGGGAAUAUUGCACAAUGGGCGGAAGCCUGAUGCAGCAACGCCGCGUGCGGGAUGACGGCCUUCGGGUUGUAAACCGCUUUCAGCAGGGGCGAAGCUUGUGGUGACGGUACCUGCAGAAGAAGCACCGGCUAACUACGUG
Molecule: ribosomal RNA, 464 nt
Filed under: uncultured bacterium
Lineage: Bacteria
Description: partial 16S ribosomal RNA
Rfam family: Bacterial small subunit ribosomal RNA
Source: RNAcentral